UUGUGUCAUGUUGGAUGCACGGUGACCCACCACGGGGAUAAAACAGUCUGAAUGUGAGAGGAAUGCAGCCAAGAAAUGAGAAAUGGAAAUGAGCAAAGAAAGAACGACGCUGUAAAACUCGCAAGAGGAGUUCUCAUAUGUUAAUGCGGAUGGCCUGAAGAACAGUAUUUGCAUUGCGCUGCAUGCUACUGAGGGAACCGAGGAGAGACAUGUUUGGAGCGCGCACGACUGCGCGCGUGCACAUCUCGGUCGGCUAUUGCCAGGAAACACCAGAGAGACUCCGGGCAAACAUCAGCACCCUGUGGCUCCAAUGUACAGACGCAGAAUGAUUAGAGACAGAAACCGAUGACUGAUGCUGACACUUUGUGAAAUGUAAAGAGCUAACUGUAUGAAAAAUCCUCUAAUAUUCCGCACCAACCCAGUCCCCUCGUUUAGCGGCGGUAUUGAUCGUUGUGUCAGUCACAGUGAUUGAGUCGACACGGGGUUGAUUGUGUAGCAGCUGAGUGAGAUUCAGGGGAGCAAAUCAGUGCCAGAGAUGUUCAACAGUCCACGUGACUACACUUCAGUAGCUAGUACAGUCGUUCAGCAAAGAGCUAUAAAUCUGCUUAUCCAAACAGGUGUGAUCUUGAUGCAGGGUGAUUUGUUCUCUUCAUCACGAGUCCUUGGUGCCUAGAAGUGGAGCAGCGACCUUUUUAAGAUCCCCAGUGUUUCCUUGUGCUCCCAGCAAGCUCAGCGCUGCCAGCCACGCUCGUCCUCUGCCCUCCUUUGCUCCUGCUACCGCCAGACCCCCAUUCCCUGCCACCGUCCCCCAAGACCCAGAA
Long non-coding RNA from Seriola aureovittata, 821 nucleotides. RefSeq lists it as uncharacterized. NCBI's taxonomy places the organism in Eukaryota, Metazoa, Chordata, Actinopteri, Carangiformes, Carangidae. The transcript has 3 exons. The record is from RefSeq and is a predicted model, not a curated record.